This 103-nucleotide small RNA is filed under the name Plesiomonas shigelloides. Its description in RNAcentral is "Alpha operon ribosome binding site". It matches the Rfam family "Alpha operon ribosome binding site". From Rfam's summary of the family: The bacterial alpha operon ribosome binding site is surrounded by this complex pseudoknotted structure. Translation of the mRNA produces 4 ribosomal protein products, one of which (S4) acts as a translational repressor by binding to the nested pseudoknot region. The mechanism of repression is thought to involve a conformational switch in the pseudoknot region and ribosome entrapment. Lineage: Bacteria; Pseudomonadati; Pseudomonadota; Gammaproteobacteria; Enterobacterales; Enterobacteriaceae. The record is from RNAcentral.
AUGGUCAUUUGGGUAUCCUGAAAACGGGCUUUUCAGAUUGGCCUACCAGUAUAUAAAUUUAGGAGUGCAUAUGGCCCGUAUUGCAGGCAUUAACAUUCCUGAU